AGGACGAACGCUGGCGGCGUGCUUAACACAUGCAAGUCGAACGAGGCCCUACCUUCGGGUAGGUGACCUAGUGGCGAACGGGUGAGUAACACGUGGGCAACCUACCCUCAGCUCUGGGAUAACCCCGGGAAACCGGAGCUAAUACCGGAUAUGACCUUGAACGACAUCGUUCUUGGUGGAAAGUUUUUUCGGCUGAGGAUGGGCCCGCGGCCUAUCAGCUUGGUUGGCGGGUAAUGGCCCACCAAGGCGACGACGGGUAG
This 260-nucleotide ribosomal RNA is filed under the name uncultured bacterium. Its description in RNAcentral is "partial small subunit ribosomal RNA". It matches the Rfam family "Bacterial small subunit ribosomal RNA", at positions 26 to 286 of the family's 1533-position model. The record is from RNAcentral.